This 468-nucleotide ribosomal RNA is filed under the name uncultured bacterium. RNAcentral's name for it is "partial 16S ribosomal RNA". It matches the Rfam family "Bacterial small subunit ribosomal RNA", at positions 28 to 507 of the family's 1533-position model. The record is from RNAcentral.
GACGAACGCUGGCGGCGUGCUGAACACAUGCAAGUCGAACGGUAAGGCCCUGCUUUUGUGGGGUGCGUGAGGGGCGAACGGGUGAGUAACACGUGAGUAACCUGCCCUUGACGUUGGUAUAACUUCAGGUAACUGGGGCUAAUACCGGAUAGGAGCUCCUGCUGCAUGUUGGGGGUGGGAAAGUUUCGGCGGUUGGGGAUGGACUCGCGGCGUAUCAGCUUGUUGGUGGGGUAGUGGCUUACCAAGGCUUUGACGGGUAGCCGGCCUGAGAGGGUGACCGGCCACAUUGGGACUAAGGACCGGCCCAGAACCCUACGGGAGGCAGAAGUGGGGAAUAGUGCACAAUAAGAGGAAGCCUGAUCCAGCAACGCCGCGUGCGGGAUAACGGCCUUCGGGUUGUCAACCGCUUUCGCCUGUGACGCAGCGAGAGUGACGGUCAUGGGUAAAGAAGCACCGGCUCACUACGUG